This 442-nucleotide ribosomal RNA is filed under the name uncultured bacterium. RNAcentral's name for it is "partial 16S ribosomal RNA". It matches the Rfam family "Bacterial small subunit ribosomal RNA", at positions 338 to 795 of the family's 1533-position model. The record is from RNAcentral.
CCUACGGGAGGCAGCAGUGGGGAAUAUUGGGCAAUGGGCGCAAGCCUGACCCAGCAACGCCGCGUGAAGGAAGAAGGCUUUCGGGUUGUAAACUUCUUUUGACAGGGAAGAGCAGAAGACGGUACCUGUCGAAUAAGCCACGGCUAACUACGUGCCAGCAGCCGCGGUAAUACGUAGGUGGCAAGCGUUGUCCGGAUUUACUGGGGGUAAAGGGCGUGUAGCCGGGCUGACAAGUCAGAUGUGAAAUCCGGGGGCUCAACCCCCGAACUGCAUUUGAAACUGGUGGUCUUGAGUAUCGGAGAGGCAGGCGGAAUUCCUAGUGUAGCGGUGAAAUGCGUAGAUAUUAGGAGGAACACCAGUGGCGAAGGCGGCCUGCUGGACGACAACUGACGGUGAGGCGCGAAAGCGUGGGGAGCAAACAGGAUUAGAUACCCUAGUAGUC